Molecule: ribosomal RNA, 494 nt
Filed under: uncultured bacterium
Lineage: Bacteria
Description: partial 16S ribosomal RNA
Rfam family: Bacterial small subunit ribosomal RNA
Source: RNAcentral
GACGAACGCUGGCGGCGUGCUUAACACAUGCAAGUCGAACGGAAAGGCCUGCUUUCCCUUGUGGUUUGCGGGUACUCGAGUGGCCAACGGGUGAGUAACACGUGAGUGAUCUUCCCCCAACUUGGGUAUAAGCCUGGGAAACUGGGUCUAAUUCCCGAUAGUACUGCAGGGUGGUGCCUGUGGUGGAAAACGAUUUUCUAGUGGUUGGGGAUGAGCUCGCGGCCUAUCAGCUUGUUGGUGGGGUAAUGGCCUACCAAGGCGUCGACGGGUAGCCGGCCUGAGAGGGUGGACAGCCACAUUGAGACUGGGAUACGGCCCAGACGCGAAGGGGAGGCAGCAGUGGGGAAUAUUAGAAAGUGGGCGGAAGCCUGAUGCAGCGACGCGGCGUGGGGGAUGACGGACUUCGGGUUGUAAACUCCUUGCGACCGAGAGGAAGCCACCUGGUUGGAAGGGUGGUGACGGUAGUGGUAGAAGAAGCACCGGCUAACUACGUG